CCUACGGGUGGCAGCAGUGGGGAAUAUUGCACAAUGGGGGAAACCCUGAUGCAGCAACGCCGCGUGAGUGAAGAAGUAUUUCGGUAUGUAAAGCUCUAUCAGCAGGGAAGAAAAUGACGGUACCUGAUUAAGAAGCCCCGGCUAACUACGUGCCAGCAGCCGCGGUAAUACGUAGGAGGCAAGCGUUAUCCGGAUUUCCUGGGGGUAAAGGGUGGGUAGACGGCAGAACAAGUCUGGAGUGAAAUGCCAGGGCCUAACCCCGGAACUGCUUUGGAAACUGUGCAGCUAGAGUGUAGGAGAGGUAAGGGGAACUCCUAGUGUAGCGGUAAAAUGCGUAGAUAUUAGGAGGAACACCAGUGGCGAAGGCGGCUUACUGGACUGUAACUGACGUUGAGGCUCGAAAGCGUGGGGAGCAAACAGGAUUAGAUACCCUGGUAGUC
This 440-nucleotide ribosomal RNA is filed under the name uncultured bacterium. RNAcentral's name for it is "partial 16S ribosomal RNA". It matches the Rfam family "Bacterial small subunit ribosomal RNA", at positions 338 to 795 of the family's 1533-position model. The record is from RNAcentral.